CCUACGGGAGGCUGCAGUCGAGAAUCAUUCACAAUGGGGGAAACCCUGAUGGUGCGACGCCGCGUGGGGGAAUGAAGGUCUUCGGAUUGUAAACCCCUGUCAUGUGGGAGCAAAUUAAAAAGAUAGUACCACAAGAGGAAGAGACGGCUAACUCUGUGCCAGCAGCCGCGGUAAUACAGAGGUCUCAAGCGUUGUUCGGAAUCACUGGGCGUAAGGCGUGCGUAGGCGGUUUCGUAAGUCGUGUGUGAAAGGCGCGGGCUCAACCCGCGGACGGCACAUGAUACUGGGAGACUAGAGUAAUGGAGGGGGAACCGGAAUUCUCGGUGUAGCAGUGAAAUGCGUAGAUAUCGAGAGGAACACUCGUGGCGAAGGCGGGUUCCUGGACAUUAACUGACGCUGAGGCACGAAGGCCAGGGGAGCGAAAGGGAUUAGAUACCCGUGUAGUC
Molecule: ribosomal RNA, 446 nt
Filed under: uncultured bacterium
Lineage: Bacteria
Description: partial 16S ribosomal RNA
Rfam family: Bacterial small subunit ribosomal RNA
Source: RNAcentral